AAUACGGAGGUGGCUAGCGUUGUUCGGAAUUACUGGGCGUAAAGGGCGCGUAGGCGGCAUGGCAAGUCAGAUGUGAAAGCCCCGGGCUCAGCCUGGGAACUGCAUCUGAAACUGCUUUGCUUGAGUCCUGGAGGGGGUAGUGGAAUUCCCAGUGUAGCGGUGAAAUGCGUAGAUAUUGGGAGGAACACCUGCGGCGAAGGCGGCUACCUGGACAGUGACUGACGCUGAGGCGCGAAAGCUAGGGGAGCGAACGG
RNAcentral lists this ribosomal RNA (254 nucleotides) under uncultured prokaryote. RNAcentral's name for it is "partial 16S ribosomal RNA". It matches the Rfam family "Bacterial small subunit ribosomal RNA", at positions 522 to 775 of the family's 1533-position model. The record is from RNAcentral.